CUUUUACUGACCUUACCUGUGACUGUCAUCAUAAAGAAUCAAAAGGGAAAGAAUCAUUAACGAAAACAAUAAACAGGUGUUUCAUGAGAAUGUUUACAGUACAACUACUUUUUGUAUCCAAGCAUAUCUAAUCGACCGAAAGUCCCAUUUUAAUCAAAUCAGCUCAAACUCAAAGAAGCCUAGAUUUAUCACAAGAUUAUACAAUUAUGCAAGUAAAGGGAUAAUAUUAUAGUGGCUUAGAAGAUGACUGUCAUCAUCUCACUAUACAAAAAGAAAACUCGAAUGAACCAUGAAGGCUACCAAUUAAGGAAACUAAUCGACAAUGUAUGGAGGAAUCUAAAAGUAAAUUGGCUAGCGAGAUUCGGUUCCAAAUUGAGAAUAACACAAUCGCGAUUUACUACGAUAAACGAAAACCAAAACCGAGAAAUCAAGGAGAUAAUAGAGAUAAUUGCACGAAUACAGAUCACACAGAGAUACAGAAUCAAUUAAUAACGACAAUAAUAAUCAUCAAACUCGUCCAAAUAGCAUUGGAGAUAUUAUGUCGGCAAGUGCAGCAAUCAAACAACAGAUCAUCCAAAUUGAAGAAGAAAUCAAAUCAAUAGCCAAAAAUAUCAAUCCUGAGAAAAUUUCCCGAUAAACAAAUGGAUCGCAACAAUAUCUACCAGCAGAGGAAACCUAAACCUUUUCCGCAUAAAACAAAAUUAUACACAAAAAAAAAGUAGAGCAUACCGCCAUGGAUGUUGAUCUUCG
Arabidopsis thaliana (thale cress) is the source of this 750-nucleotide long non-coding RNA. RefSeq annotates it as other RNA. The record is from RefSeq. The transcript has a single exon. NCBI's taxonomy places the organism in Eukaryota, Viridiplantae, Streptophyta, Magnoliopsida, Brassicales, Brassicaceae.